RNAcentral lists this ribosomal RNA (431 nucleotides) under uncultured bacterium. Its description in RNAcentral is "partial 16S ribosomal RNA". It matches the Rfam family "Bacterial small subunit ribosomal RNA", at positions 355 to 803 of the family's 1533-position model. The record is from RNAcentral.
UGGGGAAUAUUGGACAAUGGGGGCAACCCUGAUCCAGCCAUGCCGCGUGAGUGAUGAAGGCCUUCGGGUUGUAAAGCUCUUUUGGCGGGGACGAUGAUGACGGUACCCGCAGAAUAAGCCCCGGCUAACUUCGUGCCAGCAGCCGCGGUAAGACGAAGGGGGCUAGCGUUGUUCGGAAUUACUGGGCGUAAAGCGAGUGUAGGCGGUUGCCGUAGUCAGGUGUGAAAGCCUUGAGCUCAACUCAAGAAAUGCACUUGAUACUGGGUGACUAGAGGACCGGAGAGGAUAGUGGAAUUCCCAGUGUAGUGGUGAAAUACGUAGAGAUUGGGAAGAACACCAGUGGCGAAGGCGGCUAUCUGGACGGUUACUGACGCUAAGACUCGAAAGCGUGGGGAGCAAACAGGAUUAGAUACCCUGGUAGUCCACGCCGU